This 119-nucleotide ribosomal RNA is filed under the name Pseudo-nitzschia delicatissima. RNAcentral describes it as "partial 18S ribosomal RNA". It matches the Rfam family "Eukaryotic small subunit ribosomal RNA", at positions 1710 to 1828 of the family's 1831-position model. Lineage: Eukaryota; Bacillariophyta; Bacillariophyceae; Bacillariales; Bacillariaceae. The record is from RNAcentral.
CGAGAUUGUGGUUAGUUUCCUUUAUUGGAAGUUAGCCGCGAGAACUUGUCUAAACCUUAUCAUUUAGAGGAAGGUGAAGUCGUAACAAGGUUUCCGUAGGUGAACCUGCGGAAGGAUCA